CGCCGGUGCCUCGUAAAAGAGGAGAAUAGGGAAUGCGGUGAGAAUCCGCAGCAGCCCCCACUACUGUAACCCGGUACGAAGUCCGAAAAAAGGUCAUUGGUCCAGUGCUUCAGCCAAAGAGGCGGAAGCGGGGCUGAGAAGGCGUCGGACGGAGGCGAAACGGGUAAGUCAGGAGACCUGCCGGCGAGUUUU
Molecule: non-coding RNA, 192 nt
Filed under: bovine gut metagenome
Source: RNAcentral